GUGAGGAAUAUUGGUCAAUGGGCGGGAGCCUGAACCAGCCAAGUCGCGUGAAGGAAGAAGGAUCUAUGGUUCGUAAACUUCUUUUGCAGGGGAAUAAAGUGCAGGACGUGUCCUGUUUUGUAUGUACCCUGAGAAUAAGGAUCGGCUAACUCCGUGCCAGCAGCCGCGGUAAUACGGAGGAUCCGAGCGUUAUCCGGAUUUAUUGGGUUUAAAGGGUGCGGCGGUGGUUUGAUAAGUCAGCGGUGAAAGUUUGCAGCUUAACUGUAAAAAUGCCGUUGAAACUGUCGGACUUGAGUGUAAAUGAGGUAGGCGGAAUGCGUGGUGUAGCGGUGAAAUGCAUAGAUAUCACGCAGAACUCCGAUUGCGAAGGCAGCUUACUAAGCUACAACUGACACUGAAGCACGAAAGCGUGGGGAUCAAACAGGAUUAGAUACCCUUGUAGUCC
RNAcentral lists this ribosomal RNA (445 nucleotides) under uncultured bacterium. Its description in RNAcentral is "partial 16S ribosomal RNA". It matches the Rfam family "Bacterial small subunit ribosomal RNA", at positions 354 to 796 of the family's 1533-position model. The record is from RNAcentral.